ACCCAAAGUUUUUUGUCAGGACAUUUUUCUUUUAUAUUAUCUACAAAAUUGUCUGUUACAACUUUGGAAGAACAAUAGUAUUUCGCUUCCUGAAUUCACGUUUUGUGUUUUCAGAUCUUGAAUCAUCGUUUUGAUGUAUUCAAAUAGGAUUACGGAGGAUCUUAUGAGUUGAACUCGGAAUCACUUUAUGUGAAAUUUUUCUGGAUGAUGUUCGUAGUAAAGAACCUCAUAUUU
Molecule: small nucleolar RNA, 234 nt
Rfam family: Small nucleolar RNA snR191